GCCGGGCAUGCUGGUGGGCGCCUGUAGUCCUAGCUUCUCGGGAGGCUGAGGCAGGAGAAUCACUUGAACCCAGGAAGCUGAAGUUGCAGUGAGCCAAGGUCAUGCCACUGUACUCCAGCCUGGGUGACAGAGUGAGAUUCUGUCUCGA
Unclassified non-coding RNA from Papio anubis (olive baboon), 148 nucleotides. It matches the Rfam family "Metazoan signal recognition particle RNA". Rfam says of the family: The signal recognition particle (SRP) is a universally conserved ribonucleoprotein. It is involved in the co-translational targeting of proteins to membranes. The eukaryotic SRP consists of a 300-nucleotide 7S RNA and six proteins: SRPs 72, 68, 54, 19, 14, and 9. Lineage: Eukaryota; Metazoa; Chordata; Mammalia; Primates; Cercopithecidae. The record is from Ensembl.